Molecule: long non-coding RNA, 296 nt
Filed under: Elaeis guineensis (African oil palm)
Lineage: Eukaryota; Viridiplantae; Streptophyta; Magnoliopsida; Arecales; Arecaceae
Description: long non-coding RNA (EGUI_LNC074077)
Source: RNAcentral
AGAGGAGAUUGUUAGAUCAAUUUGUCCCAGGAGAGGAAAGAGGAGACCGCAUCAAUGCCUCCAUCAAAGUUGCUAUGAUCAGCCGUUCCACCAAUGCCUCAACAAAGCAAGCAAAGAGAAGUGACUUCCGAUGGAAGGCCCAUAGUUGAGAAGGGCUGACAAAUGCUCCAAUCUCGAUGCCAACAGUAGGAUAAAAAGAGAAAGGGAAAGAGAGAUAGAGGAGCAAGGGAGAGAAAUAGAAGGGGAGAAGAUAGGGGGGUCUAACCGGUGGAUGGAGAGGCCGGCAACAUCCCACG